This 253-nucleotide ribosomal RNA is filed under the name uncultured bacterium. RNAcentral describes it as "partial 16S ribosomal RNA". It matches the Rfam family "Bacterial small subunit ribosomal RNA", at positions 524 to 776 of the family's 1533-position model. The record is from RNAcentral.
UACGGAGGGUGCGAGCGUUGUCCGGAAUCAUUGGGCGUAAAGGGCGCGUAGGUGGCCCGGUAAGCGUGCGGUGAAAGCUUGGGGCUCAACCCCGAGUCGGCCGUGCGAACUGCUGGGCUUGAGCACUGUAGAGGCAGGCGGAAUUCCGGGUGGAGUGGUGAAAUGCGUAGAGAUCCGGAGGAACACCAGAGGCGAAGGCGGCCUGCUGGGCUGCACCUGACGCUGAGCCGCGAAAGCCAGGGGAGCGAACGGG